GACAGCAGUCGCCACGGUAAUACGGAGGGUGCAAGCGUUAUCCGGAUUUAUUGGGUUUAAAGGGUCCGUAGGCGGAUCUGUAAGUCAGUGGUGAAAUCUCACAGCUUAACUGUGAAACUGCCAUUGAUACUGCAGGUCUUGAGUAAAUUUGAAGUGGCUGGAAUAAGUAGUGUAGCGGUGAAAUGCAUAGAUAUUACUUAGAACACCAAUUGCGAAGGCAGGUCACUAAGAUUUAACUGACGCUGAUGGACGAAAGCGUGGGGAGCGAACAGGAUUAGAUACCCCAGUAGUCCCUGUCUCUUAUAC
RNAcentral lists this ribosomal RNA (306 nucleotides) under uncultured bacterium. RNAcentral's name for it is "partial 16S ribosomal RNA". It matches the Rfam family "Bacterial small subunit ribosomal RNA", at positions 507 to 807 of the family's 1533-position model. The record is from RNAcentral.